UUUUGUGCGAGAUUUCUUUGUCAAUUGGGAGGUUGGGUUAUCGCCGGACAACAUACAUUGGGCGGAUAGAUUUGACUCAGAAUAAGUUUGCCUACUUUCCUAUCAUUUUCUGUGUUAUGAAAUUCUCAUCUUUUUUUAUUUCCUUUCGUUUAUAUGGAGAUGUACAUUGCAAUUGUAUUAUGAAUUUACAGGAUUAAGGUGGUUGAUUUGAGUCAGACACGGCUAUUUGGUGGUCUAUCUCUUUGGGAGGUUUUCAUCUCUAUAAAAAUUCAGAUGUAAGUUUGUGAGCCUGACAACCAUUCAGUGUAGUUGUCACUCUUUCAGGAUUGGCGUUGUGAAACGGGCACCUGGGUAGUUGGGGUUCGAGGACUUUGUGGUGAACGUUCUUUAAGCGAUUGCAGAGGAUUUAUUGGUAUUUAAGUUUUUAUCGAGGCUUAUGUGUGAUUUCUCCUGAUUUAGUGGAUUUUCUGACAGCGUUGGAACUUUUCGUUGGGUUUCUUGUUCCUCAGUAUGAUCGGGGUUUCCUUAGUUGGCAUGUACUGAGAGGAUUUAGAUGAUCUAUUUGAGCUGUCAUGGCCAUCCAGAUGUCCUUGUCAACGGGGGGUUAUAUUCAAAUUUAAGUUUACAAGCUUGUACGAUCAUUCGGAAUCUGUAUAUUACAGGGUCUUAGUCUUAGUUAUAAUGUUUGCUUUUAGGUUUGCGGUGUGCAUCCGAUAGCGUGGUUGCGAGGACUGGAUGGAGGUUUGAGGGUUUUGUUGUGCCCCUUUCUUUUUUACUAAUUAGAGUGGAUUUAACGAAAUUUAAUUCAAUGUUAAAUCUGAUAUCUUUCUUUUUAUUUAUUUUAGAAAUGUAAUUUUUUGUAUCGGUGUUGAAUCUGUUUGAUGGUUUUCAUAUUCACCAGGAAGAUUCAAUGUUCGUUGGCGUUGAGAUAUUUAGUGGAACUAAUUCCUGUCUUUUAUGUUUCCAAAUGUCUUUAAUCUUUCCUUCUUUUUCUUCUACACACAUUGCGAAUGUGUUAUGAUUCUGCAGGAACCGGGAGGUUGAUUUUAGAUGGAGGUGGCUACUCAUAUGUAUAUGUCCUAAGGGCUUUUUUAUGGUCAUGAAUAUCUCACUGUAUGUUUUCAAACACGAAUAUCAUUGGCGAGAGUUAUGUAAGAUUUACUUGCGUUGUCAUUGCUUGUUGGGUGGCAGUGUGACAUUAGUAGAAAGAAUGUUGAGGUUGGGCGAAGGUUUUUAGAUUUUGUUACUCCACCUUCAUUUUGUAAAUUAAAGUGGAUCUAGUGAUCUUUAAAUCAGUUUUAAGUUUUAGCUUUGCUCUCUCUAU
Non-coding RNA from Nelumbo nucifera (sacred lotus), 1324 nucleotides. The record is from RefSeq and is a predicted model, not a curated record. Lineage: Eukaryota; Viridiplantae; Streptophyta; Magnoliopsida; Proteales; Nelumbonaceae.